RNAcentral lists this ribosomal RNA (253 nucleotides) under uncultured bacterium. RNAcentral's name for it is "partial 16S ribosomal RNA". It matches the Rfam family "Bacterial small subunit ribosomal RNA", at positions 524 to 776 of the family's 1533-position model. The record is from RNAcentral.
UACAGAGGUGGCAAGCGUUGCUCGGUAUCACUGGGCUUAAAGGGCGCGUAGGCGGUGCGGUACGGUUCGGGUGAAAUCCCUCGGCUCAACCGAGGAAUGGCCUGAGCAACGGCCGUACUAGACGGCAUCAGAGGAAGGUGGAACUCCCGGUGGAGCGGUGAAAUGCGUAGAUAUCGGGAGGAACGCCGGUGGCGAAAGCGACCUUCUGGGGUGUACGUGACGCUGAGGCACGAAAGCGUGGGGAGCGAACGGG